Molecule: ribosomal RNA, 429 nt
Filed under: uncultured bacterium
Lineage: Bacteria
Also listed under: 1 other name
Description: partial 16S ribosomal RNA
Rfam family: Bacterial small subunit ribosomal RNA
Source: RNAcentral
UGGGGAAUUUUGGACAAUGGGGGGAACCCUGAUCCAGCCAUGCCGCGUGCAGGAUGAAGGCCUUCGGGUUGUAAACUGCUUUUGUACGGAACGAAAAGGUCUUUUCUAAUAAAGAAGGCUGAUGACGGUACCGUAAGAAUAAGCACCGGCUAACUACGUGCCAGCAGCCGCGGUAAUACGUAGGGUGCGAGCGUUAAUCGGAAUUACUGGGCGUAAAGCGUGCGCAGGCGGUUAUGCAAGACAGAUGUGAAAUCCCCGGGCUCAACCUGGGAACUGCAUUAGUGACUGCAUAGCUAGAGUGCGGCAGAGGGGGAUGGAAUUCCGCGUGUAGCAGUGAAAUGCGUAGAUAUGCGGAGGAACACCGAUGGCGAAGGCAAUCCCCUGGGCCUGCACUGACGCUCAUGCACGAAAGCGUGGGGAGCAAACAGG